CGCGCAGACACGCGUACCUUCGUCUAAAUUAAAGCUUUGCUUGUCAUCAACGGGUGAGAACGAAACGUUUUUACGGCUCCUAUUCCGUCAUAAAAGAAGAAUCCAAUUAAUCCCUUUGAAGUUUACGACGAAAUUACGUUGUCUGUUGUACACAAUACACUCGUAUAUAUACAUAUAAUGUGUAUUCGCUUAUCAACGUUUCAUUCAAGGAAUACCAAACCCGAUUUUGUACGAAAGUACUCAGCAAAAGUAAGACGACCAUGAUAAGAUACACUUUCAGGUAGGAGUUUUAAGAUAUACUUACAGAACGUAAAGCUUUAUACAAUCUAGAAACCAAAUAUAAUUCAACACGUACAGUGAAGUAACUCAAUUUUAAAAUGUGUACGAACACUUAUGGAUUUCACUAUACCUUCUGCUCUCAAAGUAGAUCUCGGUUUAGAUGAAGAUGUAAGUGUGCGUAAAAAAUAUUAAAGUCAGUAAUGAGUCAGUUCCUCAUCAAAAUAACAAUGCAUAGGCUACGGUGGGCGCCGGUAUCGUCGUUGCAUAGCUAAGCACCAACAUACGUUUGCCAGCUGGAAACAGCCGUUUGCAACUCGACAAAGAGGUAUUGUUCAGUUGAGGGAUCCAUCUACCGCUUGCCUUAGUGCCUCUACUAUUUACACGGCCUAACUCAACAUUAUGUCGCAAACUUUACACCCGGCUCCUCCGGACGUCGAAUAUCCCUCUCGAAACGCGACUUCUGUUUAGUUUUGACAAGCGUUACCUACUCCGGUCCAUUAUCAAGCGAAAAUAGAGACGGUUCAUUUGAAUUUGUUCCAAGCUGCAUGAUUAUAAAUAUUGAAUUCCUUCAAUCCAACAUUUUCUUAAAUAAAUAUGUGACAAUAUAAAUGAAAGGGAAUAUCGAGAACUUCUAUAAAUGGCCUUUAAACCAUGAAUUAAAACAAUUAAAAUCGUCCAGUUAUGUAAAUUAGGUGUCGCAUUAAGAAAUAAUAAAUUGAAUGACGUUUUCUCAAAAUGUCUAAAUGAAUCUUAUUAUUUAAUGAUUUACGAGGCGAAGAUGAUCCAAGGUAUACAUGUUUCAACGACAAUAUCACGAUUAAUCAUUUCGAGAGCAACGGAGAUGUAACGUUUUUCGAAGUUACUUUAACGACGUCUACGGAGACGUCUAAACUCGGAUCAAUAAGGAGCCAAGUGGCUUCUAACUCGCAGGUAACUGCAUAUGCCUAGGAAAGCGAGGUACCAAGGGGAAUUUUCAACUCACGAAGUUUGCGAUACCCAUGCUAAGCUGCUGAAGGCAUAUUUGGUUCAACUUGCAACAGUACUGAGCUUCUUUUUUCACCUGAAGUUUUACUGCGAAUGUACAAUUCGUUGGAAAAGCUUCAACGGGAACAGCAUUUAAAAAUUUGAAAGUCUACAAAAUCCAUAAAAUGAACGGCACGAACAAUUUUUCUUCAGACGUUGGAUUUACAUAAGGCGUCUUCACUCACGGAGUCGUCGGUGCAACGAGAAAUAGUCGUAGGUUAACAAACAGAGAAAUGAAAAGUCAUGAGAACGAUAUUAGCAUUGCAAAUUGUCAAGGGCGCCACGCCGCCCGCGGCGUCGUUAUAGUUCUUUUGUUCAUUAGUGCAAAUCAUCCUCACACGACAGAUAGAUGUUUCCAUGUCAUUCUAAUCGUUUUUUAAAUGAAAAUUUCUUUUCUUUACAUUAUAAAAAUUUAAAUUAUAAGUCUUAUUCUAAUUUAUACAAUGUUUUUCACUUGAAUAGAUUCGCAUAAAAAAUGUACAGUUACUUCAAAGGAAGGAAUUGUGGUUACAAUUCCUGCUUAAUAAUUAGAUUUAUUUGAAAUAAUGCUUUGCGAUAGAUUAGAGAAAUAUUUUUAACAAUUCUACGUAUAAUCAUUUUACAUUUCUAAUUUAUUUUAUUCAUGUGAUAUACACUUCGCUAGGAAAAACUAGUCUGAGCUAUUCGAGAUUAGUCGAGUUAACAGUACUGUACAAUUAAUAUUCUCUUAUUGCGUAUAUUUUAAUUGUUUGUUGUUGAUGUGAAUGACUUAAAAGAAUAAGAUUAUUCGACACUUACGUAUCAUCUAACAACAGCCACGAAAAACCAUUGCUAUAAUGAUAAAAUAUGAAUUUUUGGACCAGUCUAGAUUAGUCAUUGAUUAAUUAAUUGAUUAUAAAAAGCAGCUAUCAAUGGAAUGCGAUCAACAUUCAUUCGAAUAAAAUUAAAUUGGGAUUAUGGCAAAACUUUGAAGUCUAAUGAUGAACAGGAGGAAGGGAGAUAUUGGGUGACUAGGUCAGGCUAUGAUCGAAUAACAUACGGGCAACGGAACCAACGCAGACAUCGUCGUUGAAUACCUCCUUUAACACGGUUGCACAGGUGCGCCACGUCAUUCAUCGGCCCGAUACGCCCGACCGUUAUUAGCAAAAUUGCGUGAACUAAUUGGCUAAUUAGCGAUUAGGAACGUACGUACCGACAAUUUGUUCCGAUGUGUUAAUGAGUUAUUGUUAUCGGUUUGCUACGGACGGUACAAUUAUACUUGGUCGAAAGUCUAAUCGAAACUCAUCACUCGAGAUGGAGAAAAAUAGUAGAAUCAUGGAUAAAUAAAAAAAUCUAUUUGUUUAUGAUCAUCCAGUCGAGUAGAAUAAAUAUUUGGUUAGCAACUAAA
Long non-coding RNA from Ceratina calcarata, 2668 nucleotides. RefSeq lists it as uncharacterized. The record is from RefSeq and is a predicted model, not a curated record. NCBI's taxonomy places the organism in Eukaryota, Metazoa, Arthropoda, Insecta, Hymenoptera, Apidae. The transcript has 3 exons.